CUGGUGAAGGGCCCAACGUCAGGCCGCCGGAGGCCGUGCCUGGCCGUAUCGCCGAACACGACGCGGCACGCGAACAACGCCAGCCGGUCGAUCAUCCAGACGGGCAGGUAGGCGAACAGCGCCGUGGACGCGUUCAUGAUCUCCCUCGUCAUGAGGUGGAGCUCGCCGCGGACGACGAUGGAGGCCGCGGCGCCGGCCUGGACCAGGUCCAGGGCGAUCUCCAUUCCAGAGUUGCCGCAGCCGACGACGAGCACUUCCUUUCCCCGCAUCCCCUCGCCGGACCGGUACUCGCCGGCGUGGAUGGCCUCGCCAUGGAACGUGUCCAGCCCGGGCACCUCGGGCAGCACCUUCUCGUCGAACUCCCCCGUGGCCACCACCAGGAACCUCGCCGUGUACUGCUCCGCAUCGCCGGUGGCGAGGUUGACGGCCUCCACCUCCCACCGGCCGUCCACGAAGCGCGCCGAGCGGACCUCGCGGCGGAGGCGGAGGCGCGCGCGCACGGCGAAGCGGUCGGCAUAGGCGUCGAGGUAGCGGACGAAGUGGUCGCGGGGGAGGUAGGCCGGCGCGUCGUCGUCGUGCGGCAGGUGGGGGAGCGCGCUCGCCUGCUUGGGGAGGUGCAGGUGGAGGCGGUCGUAGGCGCGCUUCUGCCACAGCGAGCCGACGCAGUCGUCCCGCUCCAGGACGAUGCUAUCCACCCCGCGCCGAGCCAGGCACGCCGACGCAGCCAGCCCCGACGGCCCCGCCCCAACGAUGAUCACCGGCGGCGCGCUGUUGUCCAUCGCCGUUGCUUGGUGCGCAGAAGCUGCCUCAGCCUGGAUGUACGUACAGGAGAUCGAUAUGCCAGGACCGGUUGGUUUUCACGGACCCUCUCCACCGAACCCUUUGUCCCUCCAAUUUCCAUCCAGAGUACGACACGCAAUCCCGUAGGACAAAAAUCUGGUCGCAUGUGUAGCAUCACACGUACAAGUGAUGUGGACAUCGAUCGAUCGUUCCAGUGAUUCACGGGUGGAAAAUGUUGCCCGGCCGGCCAACCAGCUACGUCG
RNAcentral lists this ribosomal RNA (1043 nucleotides) under Triticum aestivum (bread wheat). RNAcentral describes it as "partial small subunit ribosomal RNA". The record is from RNAcentral. Lineage: Eukaryota; Viridiplantae; Streptophyta; Magnoliopsida; Poales; Poaceae.